GAAUUGUCAUACGCGUGCGAGUGAGAAAUUUUGCCUAUAAUUACGAAUUUUCACCCAGAAAGAAUGAUUCUUAAUCUUAACGGCUCAAAGGAAUAUAUGUAUGAUCCAAGCAGACCAAACAUGGUAAUUUUUAGCCUUGGGCACAAGAUUGAUUCUCUUCACUUUGUGUAUGUUUAAUUUCGAGUACUUUUUAUGAUGAAUUAUUUUACCAUGAGUGAUUGAAAUUUCUAGAUUAUCGUUAAAUGGUGAAUCUCUAUUGAAUUGUUUGAACCAAAUAAUCUAAGAAGUCCUCUUUCAACACAAUUUGAAUUAUGUUUAUUUAAUAGAUCUUGUUAGUAAUGCUUUUCAAUUUCUAAUCAACUUUGAAUUUUAAAUAAGUGCUUCUUGGGAGGUGAUGACACCUCGUUAUAUGAUGUUUUAGCUAGGUUUUUUUUAAGUAAUUUUAAUAAGCAUUUGGAAAAAAAUUAAAAGGAGUUUUAGAUGAGUUUCUCAUGGUUUAAGAGAUAUUUUGUAUUAUUUUGAUUUUAGUCCUUGUAAUUCUAUUUCAUCCCCUAAUUAGGCACACUUCAUAUAUAUUUUGAGUCUGUCUAUUGAUAAAUUAUAUAAAUCAACAAAGCAAAACAUCUAAUGGAAGUUAUGGAAGGUAAAGAGUGAAGAUCGACGAAGGUAUUGGAAGAUUUUGAGGGCAAUACAAAUUGGGAAAAUUUUAUCCUAUGUUCCAAGACUUGUCAAGGAAGGAGAAACACUUGAAGAAUGGAGGAAAAACAACAAAUUUUGCCAUGCUGAAGUCCAAAGCUCCCCCAGUGCAUGACACCUGCAGAAGGACAGUUGACCACCAUCCAAAGCACUUCAGGUGCAAACCCAACUGAGAAAAUGCAUAUUUAAAGAUAUUUGUGCACAUAUAAAUUUUCGUUCAUAACUUGAUGGUUUAAGGCGAAGGCAAGCUACGACAUCAAAGAGGAAUCACACGUCCUCCAACUUGUUCUUAUAGUAUGUUUUGUUUUUCUUUGGUUAUGUAUUUUGUUACCAUGAGUAGUUAACUACCUUUUGAUCAGGGUUCUAAGACGAAUCUCUAUAUUUAUGUUAUAUUUAAUUUUCAUAUGUUUUACGCUUAAUACUUUGACAAACUAGGAAGUGAUGCCCCUAAAAUUUGCAAUGAUCUUAGGUUAGGGUUCAUUAGAUUGGAGUUUUGCUUUGACCAUUGUUAUUACAUAUAAAUUUUGCUCA
This 1227-nucleotide long non-coding RNA is filed under the name Medicago truncatula (barrel medic). Its description in RNAcentral is "long non-coding RNA (MTRU_LNC000716)". The record is from RNAcentral. Lineage: Eukaryota; Viridiplantae; Streptophyta; Magnoliopsida; Fabales; Fabaceae.